GACGAACCGUGCGAACGUUGUUCGGAAUUACUGGGCGUAAAGGACGCGUAGGCGGCCUGCUAAGUCGAACGUGAAAUCCCUGGGCUCAACCCAGGAACUGCGUCCGAUACUGGUUGGCUUGAAUCCGGGAGAGGGAUGUGGAAUUCCAGGUGUAGCGGUGAAAUGCGUAGAGAUCGGGAGGAACAUCAGUUGCGAAGGCGGCCACCUGGACCAGCACUGACACUGAGGCACGAAAGCGUGGGGAGCAAACAGG
RNAcentral lists this ribosomal RNA (253 nucleotides) under uncultured bacterium. RNAcentral's name for it is "partial 16S ribosomal RNA". It matches the Rfam family "Bacterial small subunit ribosomal RNA", at positions 524 to 776 of the family's 1533-position model. The record is from RNAcentral.